This 429-nucleotide ribosomal RNA is filed under the name uncultured Gammaproteobacteria bacterium. RNAcentral's name for it is "bacterial SSU rRNA". It matches the Rfam family "Bacterial small subunit ribosomal RNA", at positions 958 to 1385 of the family's 1533-position model. Lineage: Bacteria; Pseudomonadati; Pseudomonadota; Gammaproteobacteria. The record is from RNAcentral.
AACGCGAAGAACCUUACCUGGCCUUGACAUGUCUGGAAUCCUGCAGAGAUGCGGGAGUGCCUUCGGGAAUCAGAACACAGGUGCUGCAUGGCUGUCGUCAGCUCGUGUCGUGAGAUGUUGGGUUAAGUCCCGCAACGAGCGCAACCCUUGUCCUUAGUUGCCAGCACGUAAUGGUGGGAACUCUAAGGAGACUGCCGGUGACAAACCGGAGGAAGGUGGGGAUGACGUCAAGUCCUCAUGGCCCUUACGGCCAGGGCUACACACGUACUACAAUGGUCGGUACAGAGGGUUGCAAUACCGCGAGGUGGAGCCAAUCCCAGAAAGCCGAUCCCAGUCCGGAUCGGAGUCUGCAACUCGACUCCGUGAAGUCGGAAUCGCUAGUAAUCGCGGAUCAGCUAUGCCGCGGUGAAUACGUUCCCGGGCCUUGUA